Molecule: long non-coding RNA, 1741 nt
Filed under: Homo sapiens (human)
Lineage: Eukaryota; Metazoa; Chordata; Mammalia; Primates; Hominidae
Description: long intergenic non-protein coding RNA 472
Source: RNAcentral
GCAGCGCGGCCGGUGGGGACUGCGGGGCGGGCCGGAGUCCGUCCGAGGGCUCCCGCACCUCGGGCUGCGGAUUUCAGGUACUCCACUGGGCAUUUUCUCUUCAUGGAGCUUAUAGCAACAAAAGUGUUUUACAAAACACCAGACAUGUUGGCAUCAUCUCUUAGUUGGGCCAUGUGGCCAGGGAACCCUUCAUGAAACCACCUCUGCAGUCCUGGAGAGUUGCUGUAGAAGAAGGAAAAGAGAGGAAGACAACACAACACAGGAGGGGAUAAGUACCUCUGGACACAAUGGAAGUAGUAGUUGUUGAGCAGAGGGAAAGGGAUAGGAGAAGGAUGUGGACUGCAGUGCUGCAGUGCCAGACCAUUUUUUGUAAGGAAUCAUUUUAUCAACUAGGAUGACAAGAGGCCUCUCCCAUCCUGGUUGCACAUCACUUUCUAUAACAGAGAGACAUGGGCCAGAAGCCCUGAUGGAGAAAGCAGCCAAUGUCCCUUACAUUUCCACCUUUGGCUUGAAAAAAAGAUCUGUGCACUAAAUACAGGGAAAAAAAAAUGAAGUUAGGCUGGAAGAAGAAAGACAUUGUUACAUGGUAAAAUUGGAAAGAUUCAUACCAACAGUACGGGAUAAAGCAGGGGUCCCCAGCCCCUGGGCCACGGAACUGGACUGGUCCAGGGCCUGUUAGGAACUGGACUGCCCAGCAGGAGGUGAGUGGUAGGAAAUGAGCAUCACAGCCUGAGCUCCGCCUCCUGUCAGAUCAGUGGUGGCAUUACAUUCUCAUAGGAGUGCCAACCCUAUUGUGAACUGCACAUGUGAGGGAUCUAGGUUGCCCGCUCCUUAAGAGAAUGUAACUAAUGCUUGAUGAUCUGAGGUGGAAUAGUUUCAUCCUGAAACCAUACCCCCACUAAGCCCCCGCAUCCAUGAAAAAAUUGUUUUCCAUGAAACUGGUCCCUGCUGCCAAAAAGGCUGGGGACCGGUGGUAUAAAGUACGUCUGAGAAUGUAUACUUACUGAGAAUGUACCUUUAUACCCUGUAAGAUACCAUAGUGUUUUAUCAUUUUAUAAAAGCUGAGGCUCAGAGAGGGUUCUAAGAGUACUCAAGGUCACAAAGUUAAUCAACUGUCUAGGGAAGCUAGAAUUUCAAGUGAACCCUAUCUCUAAUUUGGCUCAAGAAAGAAUUUAAAUUUAAAUGACCAGAUGUAAUUUUCAAAUUUGUAUACAUGUUACAUGAGUACAUUCUCCUUUUAAAAUAUUGCCAAUAAGGUUGAAAUCAUCUUUGAUACCCAAGUUCUAGUCCCAUCCCCUCCUCUUUUCUCCAGUGGUGACUCACACUAUCGUUUCCAGAUAUCCCUCCCUGUCACACACGCGUGCACAUAUACUGUGUUAAAUACAGAGAUGGGUGGUCGCUUACCUGUGUGUUUGAUACAUAAUAGUAUUUGGUCAAAGUAACUUUUAUACUGGUAAAACCUCUUCAUUGGAACAAUAAUGCCUCAUCAAAAUCUGAACUCAUACCACUAAGUAUUAUUAUAAUAAUUUGGUAUUCUAUAGCAGUAACAGUUAUUUCCAAAGACAUUCCAAUAUGCCUGUAGUAAAUAUUCUAGAUUUAAUUAAAAUAUUGGCAGGACUACCGUUUUCCAGAUUAAAUUAAAAAGCAAUUAUUAGCAUUGCAGAUUAAGUUUUUAAAUGAAUAUUUCAAUUCAGCGACACUGGCUAGAAUAUCUUCUGUUUUGUCACAGUGUCACAGAUCC